Molecule: transfer RNA, 71 nt
Filed under: Bos taurus (domestic cattle)
Lineage: Eukaryota; Metazoa; Chordata; Mammalia; Artiodactyla; Bovidae
Also listed under: 4 other names
Rfam family: tRNA
About the family: Transfer RNA (tRNA) molecules are approximately 80 nucleotides in length. Their secondary structure includes four short double-helical elements and three loops (D, anti-codon, and T loops).
Source: Rfam by way of RNAcentral
UCCUCAUAGUUCAGUCGGUAAAGAAUCUGCCUGCAGUGCAGGAGACCCAGGUUCGAUUCCUGGGUCAGGAA